GCAGUCGUGGCUGAGUGGUUAAAGGGGUGGACUAGAAAUCCUUGGGGUGCCCCCCACAGGUUCGAAUCCUGUCGACUGCG
RNAcentral lists this transfer RNA (80 nucleotides) under Haemaphysalis longicornis (longhorned tick). It matches the Rfam family "tRNA". From Rfam's summary of the family: Transfer RNA (tRNA) molecules are approximately 80 nucleotides in length. The record is from Rfam by way of RNAcentral. Lineage: Eukaryota; Metazoa; Arthropoda; Arachnida; Ixodida; Ixodidae.